GGUUAAGCGACUAAGCGUACACGGUGGAUGCCCUGGCAGUCAGAGGCGAUGAAGGACGUGCUAAUCUGCGAAAAGCGUCGGUAAGGUGAUAUGAACCGUUAUAACCGGCGAUGUCCGAAUGGGGAAACCCAGUGUGAUUCGUCACACUAUCGUUAACUGAAUACAUAGGUUAACGAGGCGAACCGGGGGAACUGAAACAUCUAAGUACCCCGAGGAAAAGAAAUCAACCGAGAUUCCCCCAGUAGCGGCGAGCGAACGGGGAGCAGCCCAGAGUCUGAAUCAGCUUGUGUGUUAGUGGAACGGUCUGGAAAGUCCGACGGUACAGGGUGAUAGUCCCGUACACCAAAAUGCACAGGUUGUGAACUCGAAGAGUAGGGCGGGACACGUGGUAUCCUGUCUGAAUAUGGGGGGACCAUCCUCCAAGGCUAAAUACUCCUGACUGACCGAUAGUGAACCAGUACCGUGAGGGAAAGGCGAAAAGAACCCCGGCGAGGGGAGUGAAAAAGAACCUGAAACCGUGUACGUACAAGCAGUGGGAGCACCUUCGGGUGUGACUGCGUACCUUUUGUAUAAUGGGUCAGCGACUUAUAUUCUGUAGCAAGGUUAACCGUAUAGGGGAGCCGCAGGGAAACCGAGUCUUAACUGGGCGUUAAGUUGCAGGGUAUAGACCCGAAACCCGGUGAUCUAGCCAUGGGCAGGUUGAAGGUUGGGUAACACUAACUGGAGGACCGAACCGACUAAUGUUGAAAAAUUAGCGGAUGACUUGUGGCUGGGGGUGAAAGGCCAAUCAAACCGGGAGAUAGCUGGUUCUCCCCGAAAGCUAUUUAGGUAGCGCCUCGUGAAUUCAUCUUCGGGGGUAGAGCACUGUUUCGGCUAGGGGGUCAUCCCGACUUACCAACCCGAUGCAAACUACGAAUACCGAAGAAUGUUAUCACGGGAGACACACGGCGGGUGCUAACGUCCGUCGUGAAGAGGGAAACAACCCAGACCGCCAGCUAAGGUCCCAAAGUCAUGGUUAAGUGGGAAACGAUGUGGGAAGGCACAGACAGCCAGGAUGUUGGCUUAGAAGCAGCCAUCAUUUAAAGAAAGCGUAAUAGCUCACUGGUCGAGUCGGCCUGCGCGGAAGAUGUAACGGGGCUAAACCAUGCACCGAAGCUGCGGCAGCGACACUAUGUGUUGUUGGGUAGGGGAGCGUUCUGUAAGCCUGUGAAGGUGUGCUGUGAGGCAUGCUGGAGGUAUCAGAAGUGCGAAUGCUGACAUAAGUAACGAUAAAGCGGGUGAAAAGCCCGCUCGCCGGAAGACCAAGGGUUCCUGUCCAACGUUAAUCGGGGCAGGGUGAGUCGACCCCUAAGGCGAGGCCGAAAGGCGUAGUCGAUGGGAAACAGGUUAAUAUUCCUGUACUUGGUGUUACUGCGAAGGGGGGACGGAGAAGGCUAUGUUAGCCGGGCGACGGUUGUCCCGGUUUAAGCAUGUAGGCUGGUUAUCCAGGCAAAUCCGGAUAAUCAAGGCUGAGGUGUGAUGACGAGGUACUACGGUGCUGAAGUAACAAAUGCCCUGCUUCCAGGAAAAGCCUCUAAGCAUCAGGUAACAUCAAAUCGUACCCCAAACCGACACAGGUGGUCAGGUAGAGAAUACCAAGGCGCUUGAGAGAACUCGGGUGAAGGAACUAGGCAAAAUGGUGCCGUAACUUCGGGAGAAGGCACGCUGGUGUGUAGGUGAAGUCCCUGCGGAUGGAGCUGAGACCAGUCGAAGAUACCAGCUGGCUGCAACUGUUUAUUAAAAACACAGCACUGUGCAAACACGAAAGUGGACGUAUACGGUGUGACGCCUGCCCGGUGCCGGAAGGUUAAUUGAUGGGGUUAUCCGUAAGGAGAAGCUCUUGAUCGAAGCCCCGGUAAACGGCGGCCGUAACUAUAACGGUCCUAAGGUAGCGAAAUUCCUUGUCGGGUAAGUUCCGACCUGCACGAAUGGCGUAAUGAUGGCCAGGCUGUCUCCACCCGAGACUCAGUGAAAUUGAACUCGCUGUGAAGAUGCAGUGUACCCGCGGCAAGACGGAAAGACCCCGUGAACCUUUACUAUAGCUUGACACUGAACAUUGAGCCUUGAUGUGUAGGAUAGGUGGGAGGCUUUGAAGCGUGGACGCCAGUCUGCGUGGAGCCAACCUUGAAAUACCACCCUUUAAUGUUUGAUGUUCUAACGUUGGCCCCUGACCGGGGUUGCGGACAGUGUCUGGUGGGUAGUUUGACUGGGGCGGUCUCCUCCCAAAGCGUAACGGAGGAGCACGAAGGUUAGCUAAUCCUGGUCGGACAUCAGGAGGUUAGUGCAAUGGCAUAAGCUAGCUUGACUGCGAGCGUGACGGCGCGAGCAGGUGCGAAAGCAGGUCAUAGUGAUCCGGUGGUUCUGAAUGGAAGGGCCAUCGCUCAACGGAUAAAAGGUACUCCGGGGAUAACAGGCUGAUACCGCCCAAGAGUUCAUAUCGACGGCGGUGUUUGGCACCUCGAUGUCGGCUCAUCACAUCCUGGGGCUGAAGUAGGUCCCAAGGGUAUGGCUGUUCGCCAUUUAAAGUGGUACGCGAGCUGGGUUUAGAACGUCGUGAGACAGUUCGGUCCCUAUCUGCCGUGGGCGCUGGAGAAUUGAGGGGGGCUGCUCCUAGUACGAGAGGACCGGAGUGGACGCAUCACUGGUGUUCGGGUUGUCAUGCCAAUGGCACUGCCCGGUAGCUAAAUGCGGAAGAGAUAAGUGCUGAAAGCAUCUAAGCACGAAACUUGCCCCGAGAUGAGUUCUCCCUGAGACUUUAAGUCUCCUGAAGGAACGUUGAAGACGACGACGUUGAUAGGCCGGGUGUGUAAGCGCAGCGAUGCGUUGAGCUAACCGGUACUAAUGAACCGUGAGGCUUAACCUU
Molecule: ribosomal RNA, 2902 nt
Filed under: Klebsiella pneumoniae
Lineage: Bacteria; Pseudomonadati; Pseudomonadota; Gammaproteobacteria; Enterobacterales; Enterobacteriaceae
Description: 23S ribosomal RNA
Rfam family: Bacterial large subunit ribosomal RNA
Source: RNAcentral